Molecule: small RNA, 75 nt
Filed under: Pseudomonas tohonis
Lineage: Bacteria; Pseudomonadati; Pseudomonadota; Gammaproteobacteria; Pseudomonadales; Pseudomonadaceae
Description: sX9 sRNA
Rfam family: Xanthomonas sRNA sX9
Source: RNAcentral
ACGUACGGUCGUACGCUCCGGUUCCUGUGCGCUGGCCAACCACGGCUGAGGCCCGCUCGCGACGUGGGCUGAACG